AUGGAGUAGUGUCUACGAAGAAUAAGCAGUGGUUGAAGCAAAGAUGAUAACAAAAGUUUGAUUCCUGGUGAAGCUCUCUACAUUUACUUAUUCGCAUUUAUUGACUCAAUUGAUACUCCAUAAAACUUUCUUGAUUUUGCUUAUGUACUCUCAUAUUAAUAAUAAGGCUCUCCAGCGCACCUCCCGACUCGCCAUAACCAACACCUGAGCCACGUACAUCGGCUCCAACACAUCCGCUCUGUUUUGUGUCUUGUUAUCGAGUCGGUUAUUUAUUUCCAUCUGGGUUUUCUUUGUGGUUCUUUCUCGGAUCAGAUUACGAGAGUCGAACCACAUAGGAUUAGGUUUGUUUUUCCAUUGUAAAAGAGUCUUGUUGUUUCCAUUAUUUCAAUUGAGCAAUAACAGCUUAUCUUUUUAAAACUCUAAACUCUCUCUUAUU
Salvia hispanica is the source of this 436-nucleotide non-coding RNA. The record is from RefSeq and is a predicted model, not a curated record. Lineage: Eukaryota; Viridiplantae; Streptophyta; Magnoliopsida; Lamiales; Lamiaceae.